UACAGAGGUCCCAAGCGUUGUUCGGAUUCAUUGGGCGUAAAGGGUGCGUAGGCGGCGCGGUAAGUCGGGUGUGAAAUCUCGGAGCUUAACUCCGAAACUGCAUUCGAUACUGCCGUGCUUGAGGACUGGAGAGGAGACUGGAAUUUACGGUGUAGCGGUGAAAUGCGUAGAUAUCGUAAGGAAGACCAGUGGCGAAGGCGGGUCUCUGGACAGUUCCUGACGCUGAGGCACGAAAGCGUGGGGAGCGAACAGG
This 253-nucleotide ribosomal RNA is filed under the name uncultured bacterium. Its description in RNAcentral is "partial 16S ribosomal RNA". It matches the Rfam family "Bacterial small subunit ribosomal RNA", at positions 524 to 776 of the family's 1533-position model. The record is from RNAcentral.